This 260-nucleotide ribosomal RNA is filed under the name Salmonella enterica subsp. enterica serovar Typhimurium. RNAcentral describes it as "partial 23S ribosomal RNA". It matches the Rfam family "Bacterial large subunit ribosomal RNA", at positions 460 to 722 of the family's 2925-position model. Lineage: Bacteria; Pseudomonadati; Pseudomonadota; Gammaproteobacteria; Enterobacterales; Enterobacteriaceae. The record is from RNAcentral.
CCAAGGCUAAAUACUCCUGACUGACCGAUAGUGAACCAGUACCGUGAGGGAAAGGCGAAAAGAACCCCGGCGAGGGGAGUGAAAAAGAACCUGAAACCGUGUACGUACAAGCAGUGGGAGCACCCUUCGGGGUGUGACUGCGUACCUUUUGUAUAAUGGGUCAGCGACUUAUAUUCUGUAGCAAGGUUAACCGUAUAGGGGAGCCGUAGGGAAACCGAGUCUUAACCGGGCGUUAAGUUGCAGGGUAUAGACCCGAAACC